This is a long non-coding RNA of Heterocephalus glaber (naked mole-rat), 1337 nucleotides long. NCBI's taxonomy places the organism in Eukaryota, Metazoa, Chordata, Mammalia, Rodentia, Bathyergidae. The record is from Ensembl.
CGGGAUCACAGGCGUUCGCCACCACGCCUGGCUACACUGCUUCUCAAGAUGCUGUUUAUUGUUCGCCCACAGCUCCAGCUUCCUCUCUGUGCGGUCUUUGCCGAUGGCAAGAACAGACAGGCUUCUCGGGGCCUUCAAGGCGUGGGCACAGUGCGCUGGUGCUGUUUGCGUCUGCGCAGUGCCUCCCUGCGGCCCGACCGGAAGCCGCUGGGGUCUUGGGCACUUCCUGUGCGCCGCGGUCUCCCAAGGAAGACGGUGUUGCGUUGGCUUUAUUUAUCAUGGAGGAAAACGGGGCUUAGGAAUCAGAGUAGGGUUCGAUGGCGCAGGAGUGAGAACUAGGAAGCCAGUGACUCGGUUUCCCCGACAAUCCCUGCGCACUGCUGCCAAGGGGUCCCGAAGAGACCCGGCCAGCCCUGUCCUCCCAUCGUCCGGGCGCACUGAGGAGGCCCAGACACCGGAAGGAAUUGCACGAAGAUGGAAAUAACAAUCCUCGUGAGCUGCCACGUGAGACCACUGUUACUGCACGUUCACGUCCUCCCUGAGAAACUUCGGAAGAGAAAUCUGGACGCUCCAGGAGCCGCUGUUUACCCAGAGCGGCUUCUACUUCUGCAGUGUCUGCUGACCCUGAGCUCCUUCUGUCUGGUUUGAGCAGGAUUCAGUUCAAGCAAAUGUAGGGAAGCUGUCGGCCUGGUUUCGGGUACGACAUGCUCGGGUCGCUUCUCCUUCAGGGAUUUACAGAUGAGAGUUUGCCUUAAGUCUCAGAGGAGAUUUUGGAUUUGGAAUUUUGAGCAGUGCUGGAACUGUUGAGACUUUGGGGAGAACAACAUGUUUUCAGUUGUAGCUGGGAUUUACAAUUUAGAGAAAGCCAAAUUUGAAGAAGUUGAUCUUUCCUGCUUACACUGGUUAGAUUUUGGAAAUCUGGAAAUGGAGCCAUUGGCAUUUCAAGAAAGUUCUGUCUGGAAAAAUAAAUUCUGUGACUUGUGUGCAACCCUUGAGAAGAUAGAGAACAUGGAAUGUGAGGGAGAACAAAGGACUGCAGGUGGUAGCUCUGAAAAUGAAAUCCUUAAAGUGUGGAAUUCCGUGCCGAAUAAUUGUAAGUCAAUGAAAGCACUUGGGAUUGCUUUUCUUACUUUGUUUGGAACAUCUCAUGUUUGUGAGCAGUUGUGUUCAGUUUUGAAUUCUAUCAAAUCUGAUACAGGAAACAGACUGACUGAUGAUGACCUGAGUCUGCAUGUGUUGCUCUCAAGCUAGCAAAGUGUGAGCCAAGGUUGACAGAUUAUCAGAUGCAUAGGACAGCAAGAUCACAUUAAUGGUGCAAAAGCAUGCCAAAUGCAAAC